Molecule: ribosomal RNA, 501 nt
Filed under: uncultured bacterium
Lineage: Bacteria
Description: partial 16S ribosomal RNA
Rfam family: Bacterial small subunit ribosomal RNA
Source: RNAcentral
AUUGAACGCUGGCGGCACGCCUAACACAUGCAAGUCGAGCGGUAGCAGGACCUGUAGCAAUACAGGUUGCUGACGAGCGGCGGACGGGUGAGGAAUACGUAGGAACUUGCCCUUCAGUGGGGGAUAACCAAGGGAAACUUUGGCUAAUACCGCAUAAUCUCGGGAGAGUAAAGCUGCCGCAAGGUGGUGCUGAAGGAGAGGCCUGCGUCCGAUUAGCUAGUUGGUGAGGUAAGAGCUCACCAAGGCGAUGAUCGGUAACUGGUCUGAGAGGACGAACAGUCACACUGGGACUGAGACACGGCCCAGACUCCUACGGGAGGCAGCAGUGGGGAAUAUUGGACAAUGGGGGCAACCCUGAUCCAGCGAUGCCGCGUGAGUGAAGAAGGCCCUCGGGUCGUAAAGCUCUUUAGGUUGGGAAGAAGGUUGUUGGAGGAAAUGCUAGUAACUUGACGGUACCGACAGAAUAAGCACCGGCAAACUCUGUGCCAGCAGCCGCAGUAA